RNAcentral lists this ribosomal RNA (253 nucleotides) under uncultured bacterium. RNAcentral's name for it is "partial 16S ribosomal RNA". It matches the Rfam family "Bacterial small subunit ribosomal RNA", at positions 524 to 776 of the family's 1533-position model. The record is from RNAcentral.
GACAGAGGAUGCAAGCGUUAUCCGGAAUGAUUGGGCGUAAAGCGUCUGUAGGUGGCUUUUUAAGUCCGCCGUCAAAUCCCAGGGCUCAACCCUGGACAGGCGGUGGAAACUACCAAGCUGGAGUAUAGUAGGGGUAAAGGGAAUUUCCAGUGGAGCGGUGAAAUGCGUAGAGAUUGGAAAGAACACCGAUGGCGAAGGCACUUUACUGGGCUAUUACUAACACUCAGAGACGAAAGCUAGGGUAGCAAAUGGG